AACGGCGUAGACGUGCGAGCAGACAAGGAGAGCACAAAUAUUUCAGUUGUUAUUUUUCUGAUCGACUGUUUCACAAAUUGAACUACUCGAAGUCUGUGUUUUACGUGGAAGGAACGUCUCUCGCACCAGUCUCAAGCCAACAGUACGAAUAAAGUCUAUAUAAAAAGUAUAAGCUAAAUAUAAAAGUUCUCUAUCCAACAACCUUCAGUUGUAGUAGUUAAAAAUAAAGGUAACAAAACAAAAUAAAAUAUAAAUUUUAAAACGGAAA
Drosophila takahashii is the source of this 268-nucleotide non-coding RNA. NCBI's taxonomy places the organism in Eukaryota, Metazoa, Arthropoda, Insecta, Diptera, Drosophilidae. The record is from RefSeq and is a predicted model, not a curated record.